CUCCUACGGGAGGCAGCAGUGAGGAAUAUUGGACAAUGGGUGAGAGCCUGAUCCAGCCAUCCCGCGUGAAGGACGACGGCCCUAUGGGUUGUAAACUUCUUUUGUAUAGGGAUAAACCUAGAUACGUGUAUCUAGCUGAAGGUACUAUACGAAUAAGCACCGGCUAACUCCGUGCCAGCAGCCGCGGUAAU
Molecule: ribosomal RNA, 191 nt
Filed under: uncultured Chryseobacterium sp.
Lineage: Bacteria; Pseudomonadati; Bacteroidota; Flavobacteriia; Flavobacteriales; Weeksellaceae
Description: partial 16S ribosomal RNA
Rfam family: Bacterial small subunit ribosomal RNA
Source: RNAcentral